UACGGGGUGCAGCAGGCGCGAAACCUUUACAAUGCAAGAGAGUGUGAUAAGGCUAUACCGAGUGCCAUCCGCUGAGGAAGGCUU
Molecule: ribosomal RNA, 84 nt
Filed under: uncultured archaeon
Lineage: Archaea
Description: partial 16S ribosomal RNA
Source: RNAcentral